UACGAAGGAUGCAAGCGUUAUCCGGAUUCACUGGGUUUAAAGGGUGUGCAGGUGGGGUAAUAAGUCAGUGGUGAAAGCCCCCGACUCAAUCGGGGAACUGCCAUAGAUACUGUUAUUCUUGAGUGUAGUUGAGGCAGAUGGAAUAUGACAUGUAGCGGUGAAAUUCGUAGAUAUUGGGAAGAACACCAGUGGCGAAGGCGGCUCACUGGUCCGGUACUGACGCUGAGGUGCGAAAGCGUGGGGAGCAAACAGG
This 253-nucleotide ribosomal RNA is filed under the name uncultured bacterium. Its description in RNAcentral is "partial 16S ribosomal RNA". It matches the Rfam family "Bacterial small subunit ribosomal RNA", at positions 524 to 776 of the family's 1533-position model. The record is from RNAcentral.